RNAcentral lists this ribosomal RNA (407 nucleotides) under uncultured bacterium. RNAcentral describes it as "partial 16S ribosomal RNA". It matches the Rfam family "Bacterial small subunit ribosomal RNA", at positions 28 to 526 of the family's 1533-position model. The record is from RNAcentral.
GACGAACGCUGGCGGCGUGCCUAAUACAUGCAAGUAGGACGCAGUUGCGAACGGGUGAGUAACGCCUAGGUAACUACCUAUAAGAGGGGGAUAACUAUUGGAAAAGAUAGCUAAUACCGCAUACUAGUAGAUGGAUCGUCGUGGUAUUAGCUAGUAGGUUGGGUAAUGGCCUACCUAGGCGACGAUACAUAGCCGAGCUGAGAGGAUGAUCAGCCACACUGGGACUGAGACACGGCCCAGACUCCUACGGGAGGCAGCAGUGGGGAAUAUUGCGCAAUGGGCGCAAGCCUGAUCCAGCCAUGCCGCGUGAAUGAAGAAGGUCUUAGGGUUGUAAAGCUCUGUUAUUAGGGAGGCGGUAUCUAAAGAGGAAGCAACGGCUAACUCCGUGCCAGCAGCCGCGGUAAUUC